GCAGUCGAGCGACAGACAGGAGCUUGCUCCUUUGACGUUAGCGGCGGACGGGUGAGUAACACGUGGGUAACCUACCUAUAAGACUGGGAUAACUUCGGGAAACCGGAGCUAAUACCGGAUAAUAUUUCGAACCGCAUGGUUCGAUAGUGAAAGAUGGUUUUGCUAUCACUUAUAGAUGGACCCGCGCCGUAUUAGCUAGUUGGUAAGGUAACGGCUUACCAAGGCGACGAUACGUAGCCGACCUGAGAGGGUGAUCGGCCACACUGGAACUGAGACACGGUCCAGACUCCUACGGGAGGCAGCAGUAGGGAAUCUUCCGCAAUGGGCGAAAGCCUGACGGAGCAACGCCGCGUGAGUGAUGAAGGUCUUCGGAUCGUAAAACUCUGUUAUUAGGGAAGAACAUACGUGUAAGUAACUAUGCACGUCUUGACGGUACCUAAUCAGAAAGCCACGGCUAACUACGUGCCAGCAGCCGCGGUAAUACGUAGGUGGCAAGCGUUAUCC
RNAcentral lists this ribosomal RNA (504 nucleotides) under Staphylococcus epidermidis. RNAcentral's name for it is "bacterial SSU rRNA". It matches the Rfam family "Bacterial small subunit ribosomal RNA", at positions 57 to 546 of the family's 1533-position model. Lineage: Bacteria; Bacillati; Bacillota; Bacilli; Caryophanales; Staphylococcaceae. The record is from RNAcentral.